Non-coding RNA from Pelobates cultripes (western spadefoot toad), 300 nucleotides. The record is from the annotation of a GenBank genome assembly. NCBI's taxonomy places the organism in Eukaryota, Metazoa, Chordata, Amphibia, Anura, Pelobatidae.
GUGAUUGCGGGAUCCAUCCGUGGGUACCCCUUCUAGGACUAGGUCCGCUCCCUUGUUUGUUCCUGACUGUAGCUAUUGAUUUGCACCCAUGUGUGUUGUGCUCUAGGCAUCAUAAGGUGUCUUUUUAUCCUAGCUGUGGCUGCGCGUGGUUGGUGGUCAAUGUAGCGAUUAUGGAUUUUGAUUCUAGGUGUAUACAAGUCGCUGUGGUGUGACAGGAUCAAGCUGUGCCGGUGUGGCGUUAGAUAAGGUGGUGAGCUUGGUACAAGUCAGGGUUACUAGGUCGCCCUUGAUGUCAGUUCC